This 942-nucleotide ribosomal RNA is filed under the name Triticum aestivum (bread wheat). Its description in RNAcentral is "partial small subunit ribosomal RNA". Lineage: Eukaryota; Viridiplantae; Streptophyta; Magnoliopsida; Poales; Poaceae. The record is from RNAcentral.
AUGGAUGAGGCUACUGCCACCGACAGUAGGGCUGGUGAUGGUACUGAGGCUAAUGUUUCUGAUCACCAUACAAAUGAUGUUGGCUUGGAGUGCCCUGUUGUUGAUGAGACCAGUCAUAAUGUUGAGGCUGCUGUUCACCGUGGAUUUAAUGAUCCAUCUACUGAUAAGUGCAAGGGUCCUGUUGUUGGCGAUGAGCCUUGUUCGACCAUUAGUGAUGUUCCUUUGAAUGUUAGCAGCAGCAAGAUCGAUGAUGUUGCUGUGAAUGCUGCUAAGAUGACUGAUGUUGAGCGUCAGGCUGUCCUUAGUGGUGGAGAUGAUGCUCGCGGUGUUCCAUUGAGUAGUGGGCGCGAUGUUGGUACCAAAGUUGCUGAUGAGGAUGUUGGUGCUGCCAGCAUACUUGAUGCCAAAUCGUCUGGUGUUGGUAUUGCUGGGAAUGAAAAUCUUUCUGAUUGUGAAGAUUUGCCGCCGGAAAAUUUCCUGCCUGGAGGGCUCGAUUACGGUGAUGCAUUGCAAGAUGCCUCUAGUGUGGAGGAGGAACUCCCGUCGUCAAACGCUGAUAGUGCAGACGGUGCUAAUGUUGUUAAGGUUGAUUUGUUUUUCUUCGCUGUUACGAGGUUGCGCACCAAUCGUGCGAAACAUGACAAGCCGAUGUUUCAAAAUAUAGAAUGUGAUGGCAGUGUUGGUUCUAUUGCUAAAGCGUUUGUCCCCACUGGCAUGCUCAACUCAGACAAUGCUGACGUUGUUUUAUAUUCUCUACGUCAGAAGUACCGAGACACUGACAAGUUGAUAGUUCUCAGAUGGCUUCUUUUCCCUACUUUUGAUCCGCAGUCAUUUGCGGCUGCCAUGAAGCCUACUGAAGAAUCUAGGCAUUGGUGCUUGAUUGUUCUGAAUUUGAGGUUCCGUCGUUUCGAGUGUCUUGAUUCACUCCGCGAUGAAACCUAG